Mustela putorius furo (domestic ferret) is the source of this 103-nucleotide small nuclear RNA. The record is from Ensembl. Lineage: Eukaryota; Metazoa; Chordata; Mammalia; Carnivora; Mustelidae.
UUGCUUCAGCACCAUAUAUACUAAAAUUGGAACAAUACAGAGAAGUUUAGCAUGACCCCUGUGCAAGGAUGACAUGCAGAUUCAUGAAGUGUUCCAUAUUUUU